Molecule: non-coding RNA, 30 nt
Filed under: Rattus norvegicus (Norway rat)
Lineage: Eukaryota; Metazoa; Chordata; Mammalia; Rodentia; Muridae
Source: RNAcentral
UGCAUUAGGCACACUGAUCUUUAGCCAGGU